This is a long non-coding RNA of Hemiscyllium ocellatum (epaulette shark), 849 nucleotides long. RefSeq lists it as uncharacterized. The record is from RefSeq and is a predicted model, not a curated record. The transcript has 3 exons. NCBI's taxonomy places the organism in Eukaryota, Metazoa, Chordata, Chondrichthyes, Orectolobiformes, Hemiscylliidae.
AAGAGAGAGAGAUUUAUGACAAUGGGGAUUAUGAGCAGUUGAAAAUGUGUUCUGAAAACAAUUCAUUUUAUCACAGGAUCUGGAGUUGAGGGUUUAAUUCUCGGUCCAAGUAAAGGGAAUGCCUUGGUGUGCAACAGCAAUGAUUUAAGUAAGCAGGUUCCAUCAACUCCCAUCCUGGACAUAACUGAACAACAAUCACAGAUGAUGAUUACUAAUGUACAAUGAAUAAAAGGACAACAUUGGAUAGCAUAAUAAUGUAGAAGAACUAACCAGCAACAAAGAAAAAACACGUGAAGCAUGACUACAGUAAAGCAAAGCAAUAUAGAGAAAACCUUGCCAUUAACAAAAUGCAACAAGAUCUGGACAAUAUCCAAGCUUGGGCUGACAAGUGGCAGGUAACAUUCGUGCCACAGGCAAUGACCAUCUAAUCACCAUCCUUUGACAUUCAAUAGUGAUAUCAUCACUAAAACCCUCAUUAUCGACAUCCUUGUGGUUAGCAAUAACCAAAAACUUAACUGGACUCACCACAUAAACAUGGUGGUUACAUGAGCAGAUCAGAGGCUAGGAAAACUGUGAUGACUAACUCACUGCCUGACUCCUCAAAGCCUGUCCACCAUCUGCAAGACACAAGUCAGGAAUGCGAUGGAAUACUCCCCACUUGCCUGGAUGGGUGCAGCUCCAACAACACUCAAGAAGUUUGACACCAUCUAGGAGAAAACAGCCCACUUGAUUGGCACCACAUCCACAUAAAUCCACUCUCUCCACCAUCGGCACCCUGUGGCAGCAGUGUGUACUAUCAACAAGAUGGAUUGCAGAAAUUUACCCAAAAUUCUCAGACAGCACCUUCCA